UGGGGAAUAUUGGACAAUGGGCGCAAGCCUGAUCCAGCCAUGCCGCGUGGGUGAUGAAGGCCCUAGGGUUGUAAAGCCCUUUCGGCGGGGAAGAUAAUGACGGUACCCGCAGAAGAAGCCCCGGCUAACUUCGUGCCAGCAGCCGCGGUAAUACGAAGGGGGCUAGCGUUGCUCGGAAUUACUGGGCGUAAAGCGCACGUAGGCGGUCUUUUAAGUCGGGGGUGAAAUCCUGGAGCUCAACUCCAGAACUGCCUUCGAUACUGGAAGACUCGAGUCCGGGAGAGGUGAGUGGAACUGCGAGUGUAGAGGUGAAAUUCGUAGAUAUUCGCAAGAACACCAGUGGCGAAGGCGGCUCACUGGCCCGAUACUGACGCUGAGGCACGAAAGCGUGGGGAGCAAACA
Molecule: ribosomal RNA, 402 nt
Filed under: uncultured Rhodoplanes sp.
Lineage: Bacteria; Pseudomonadati; Pseudomonadota; Alphaproteobacteria; Hyphomicrobiales; Nitrobacteraceae
Description: bacterial SSU rRNA
Rfam family: Bacterial small subunit ribosomal RNA
Source: RNAcentral